Molecule: unclassified non-coding RNA, 327 nt
Organism: Nannospalax galili (Upper Galilee mountains blind mole rat)
Lineage: Eukaryota; Metazoa; Chordata; Mammalia; Rodentia; Spalacidae
Gene: 7SK
Rfam family: 7SK RNA
About the family: 7SK was discovered as an abundant small nuclear RNA in the mid-70s but a possible function has only recently been suggested.
Source: Ensembl
GGAUGUGAGGGUGAUAAGGCUGAGACAUCUGUUACCCCAUUGAUCACCAGGGUUGAUUCAGCUGAUCUGGCUGCCUAGGGGGGUGACCCCUUCCUCCCUCAAGGCUCCAUGUGUGUCUCUCCCGAAGCUGCACUCUCGGUCAGAGAGGAUGACCUUACCGGAUAGAGGGGGACCGGUCUUUGGUCAAGGGUAUACCAGUAGCUGCGCUCCCCUGCUAGAACCUCCAAACAAGCUCUCAAGGUCCAUUUGUAGGAGAACGUAGGGUAGUCAAGCUUCCAAGACUCCAGACACAUCCAAACCAGGCACUGCACAUGGCAAUCCACCUUU